Molecule: ribosomal RNA, 497 nt
Filed under: uncultured bacterium
Lineage: Bacteria
Description: partial 16S ribosomal RNA
Rfam family: Bacterial small subunit ribosomal RNA
Source: RNAcentral
GAUGAACGCUGGCGGCGUGCCUAAUACAUGCAAGUCGAGCGAACAGACGAGGAGCUUGCUCCUCUGAUGUUAGCGGCGGACGGGUGAGUAACACGUGGAUAACCUACCUAUAAGACUGGGAUAACUUCGGGAAACCGGAGCUAAUACCGGAUAACAUCUUGAACCGCAUGGUUCAACAGUGAAAGACGGUUUUGCUGUCACUUAUAGAUGGAUCCGCGCCGCAUUAGCUAGUUGGUAAGGUAACGGCUUACCAAGGCAACGAUGCGUAGCCGACCUGAGAGGGUGAUCGGCCACACUGGAACUGAGACACGGUCCAGACUCCUACGGGAGGCAGCAGUAGGGAAUCUUCCGCAAUGGGCGAAAGCCUGACGGAGCAACGCCGCGUGAGUGAUGAAGGUCUUCGGAUCGUAAAACUCUGUUAUUAGGGAAGAACAAAUGUGUAAGUAACUAUGCACGUCUUGACGGUACCUAAUCAGAAAGCCACGGCUAACUACGUG